This 256-nucleotide ribosomal RNA is filed under the name uncultured bacterium. Its description in RNAcentral is "partial 16S ribosomal RNA". It matches the Rfam family "Bacterial small subunit ribosomal RNA", at positions 98 to 354 of the family's 1533-position model. The record is from RNAcentral.
CGGGACGGGUGAGUAACGCGUGGGUAACCUGCCCUGUACAGGGGGAUAACAGUUAGAAAUGACUGCUAACACCGCAUAAGCGCACGGUAAGGCAUCUUAGUGUGUGAAAAUAUUCAUAGGUACAGGAUGGGCCCGCGUCUGAUUAGCCAGUUGGCAGGGUAACGGCCUACCAAAGCGACGAUCAGUAGCCGGCUUGAGAGAGUGAACGGCCACAUUGGGACUGAGACACGGCCCAAACUCCUACGGAAGGCAGCAG